CUAUACAGAGAGUGGAACAAAAGAAGAGAGAAUUCAAGAAAAAGAUGACACGCGUUCACUGCCAUUUCAGUGACCAUUAGUUCAUCAAAAGGUACAAUUUUUCAGUGUUUUAAUAUUCUCUGCAGCUUCUUCAAUAUUUCUCCAUGUUGCUAACGUGUUCAUUACGCCGUUGUUGGAUUUCAAGCUAUCCAUUGAUUGAUACACCGAAACUCCGUGAUACUCAAGCAAAGAUUGCUUCCCUUCCGGCGUCAAUUUCUUAAAUUUCGGAACAAAUUUCUUCAUUGCGUCAUCUCCCGGGCAAAAUUCCGUUAAUCCGCCGUCAACAUUGUGUUCAAAUGCUUAGGGUUUUGAGGAGGUGGUGGUUCUGGUGUUGGCUGAGGAUGAAGGGAUGGUGUAAUUUGAAUUCUGACAGCGGCGGAGAGAGCAGAGGAGGAUGCCCUAGAGAGGGGGAAGAGUGGCAGUG
RNAcentral lists this long non-coding RNA (463 nucleotides) under Nicotiana tabacum (common tobacco). RNAcentral's name for it is "long non-coding RNA (NTAB_LNC001523)". Lineage: Eukaryota; Viridiplantae; Streptophyta; Magnoliopsida; Solanales; Solanaceae. The record is from RNAcentral.